GACCUCAGGGUCUGGCUGGGUUCUCCAAGUGUAAUCUACCAAAUGCUGCUGUUGAAGUCUUGCAACUGAUUAGUCUGUAUCUGUGCUCGCUCUAUAUGAAGUAAUUUUUUGUAAAUUUCUAUAAUUGUCUUAUUUCUAGAUCUCUUCAACUGCAACAGCAAGCACACCUGUUGAGACAGAUUGUUCUUAUGGGGUAAGAGUUUGUUUCAUUAUUUAGUUUGACUGAUUGCAUAUGGAGUAUUUCCCCUCUAAAAUCAUAAAAUCUUUUGAGUUGGAAGGGACUUUUAAGAUCAUCUAGUCCAACACUUCUACACUGAAUAGCUCGAUCAGGUUGGUCAUAGCCCUGUCGACUCUGAUCUUGACUGCCUGCAGGGAUGGGACCUUCAUCACCUCUCUGGACAAUCUGUUCCAGUGCUUCACUACCUUUGUUGUAAAAAUAAUAAUAAUAAAUAAAUAAAUAAAUAAAACCCUUUUUCCUUAUAUCCAGUCUAAAUCUCCCCUCCUUUAGUUUGAAAACAUUUCCCCUUGUCCUAUCACAGCACACCCUGCUAAAGAGUCUGUCUCCUUCUUUCAUAUAGCCCCUCUUUACAUACUGAAAGGCCACUACCAGGUCUACCCAGAGCCACCUUUUCUCUAGGCUGAACAGCCCCAGUUCUCUCACCCUGUCCUUGUAGGGAGGUGUUCUAUCCCUUGGAUCAUUUUUGUGGCCUUCCUUUGGACAUGGUCCAACAAGUUCAUGUUUCUUCUCCACAUCUGGAUGCAAAUCAAACUUCUGCAUCUCGUUUCUAUCCCACUGUGCAGUAUAGCUGGGCUUGAUAGCACUAUUGUGGCCCAGCACUGUAGUUUUGUUCAUCAUGUUGGCUACUCUUUUUGCAUUCUAGGGCAUGCACUUAGCUACUACUAAACACAGAAUUAAAGGACCACACUGCAUGUGUUUGACCUGACUCUCUUUCUUUGUGAAUUAGUAUAAACUUUGGGUGGUUGGAGUAGCUGCAGGGAUACCCAGCUUCCUGGCAUUGGUCCUUGCAGUCAUCUUGGCAGUGGUCUGUGUUCUCCAGAGGUCAAACUUCAGAUGGAAACAGACGAGUGAAUGUUGUGAAGUGCAAGAGGAACAUGAAUAUGAAAAAUCUCCUCCCAGACCUCCAAAUGAUAUAUACCUGAAUGUGCUGGAGGAGACAACAAAUGUCUAUGUAAAUGAAGAUCAAGGAAAACGCUUCGGAACAGGCAUUCAAACACAAGCAAAGGCCCCACGGGUGAAGAAGCCCAGAACAGAGCCACCUGUGACAGAAUCCAUUUAUGAAAAUCACCCUCCCUCCUGCUGAGAGAAAAGUACUAAGUGAUGGCUGGGACCAGAAAUAACAGACAGCAUUUCCAGACACCAGGGGUCCCACAGCUGCGUUUCAAGAAAA
RNAcentral lists this long non-coding RNA (1409 nucleotides) under Chrysolophus pictus (golden pheasant). Its description in RNAcentral is "lncRNA (ENSCPIG00010008266.1)". The record is from RNAcentral. Lineage: Eukaryota; Metazoa; Chordata; Aves; Galliformes; Phasianidae.